GGGAGUUGAGAUAUGCAAGGCAGUUUUGUCAUGCACUUCAGUCACACCCCCAGAUUUAGUUGAAGAACCAUCAGUUCCCGGUUGAUGCCAGUUUCGCAGCAUUAAGGUAAAGAACAUAAAUACCAGGAUUGUGACUUCCCCAAAAGAGGUGCGGCUUCUGGAUAUGAAAGGUUUAUUUAGAUUUAUCUCUUCCAAAAACCAUUUUAUCAAAUUCUCCAAUCCUAUGCUUUGAGGUUCUGAACCGUCAGCAAAGGGUCCACCAACAGCUGAAGACAAUCUGUAGAAGAGCUGCAUGACUGGAAUAGCCCCUGUUCCUGAAGUAGUUUCCAUCCAUCCUUUCAGUUGCUCAAGUAGCUCAGAAAGAAGGAGAGAGUUAACAGCUCUCUUGGAAGCAGAAAUAGUAACAGGAUCAAGUAUUGAAGCUGAAAACUCUUCCGAUUCAUUUGGAUCCAACUCGUGGAUAGAUGGAGCAGAAAUUUGCAUCACCACCCCCAAAAGAGGUGCGGCUUCUGGAUAUGAAAGGUUUAUUUAGAUUUAUCUCUUCCAAAAACCAUUUUAUCAAAUUCUCCAAUCCUAUGCUUUGAGGUUCUGAACCGUCAGCAAAGGGUCCACCAACAGCUGAAGACAAUCUGUAGAAGAGCUGCAUGACUGGAAUAGCCCCUGUUCCUGAAGUAGUUUCCAUCCAUCCUUUCAGUUGCUCAAGUAGCUCAGAAAGAAGGAGAGAGUUAACAGCUCUCUUGGAAGCAGAAAUAGUAACAGGAUCAAGCAUUGAAGCUGAAAACUCUUCCGAUUCAUUUGGUUCCAACUCGUGGAUUGAUGGAGCAGAACUUUGCACACCAACAUCAGAUGCAACUGUCAACAAACC
Molecule: long non-coding RNA, 865 nt
Filed under: Capsicum annuum
Lineage: Eukaryota; Viridiplantae; Streptophyta; Magnoliopsida; Solanales; Solanaceae
Description: long non-coding RNA (CANN_LNC003772)
Source: RNAcentral